GUGAACGCUGGCGGUAGGCCUAACACAUGCAAGUCGAACGGCAGCACCGUAAGAGCUUGCUCUUACGGGUGGCGAGUGGCGGACGGGUGAGGAAUACAUCGGACUCUACUUUUUCGUGGGGGAUAACGUAGGGAAACUUACGCUAAUACCGCAUACGACCUACGGGUGAAAGCAGGGGAUCUUCGGACCUUGCGCGAUUGAAUGAGCCGAUGUCGGAUUAGCUAGUUGGCGGGGUAAAGGCCCACCAAGGCGACGAUCCGUAGCUGGUCUGAGAGGAUGAUCAGCCACACUGGAACUGAGACACGGUCCAGACUCCUACGGGAGGCAGCAGUGGGGAAUAUUGGACAAUGGGCGCAAGCCUGAUCCAGCCAUACCGCGUGGGUGAAGAAGGCCUUCGGGUUGUAAAGCCCUUUUGUUGGGAAAGAAAAGCAGCAGGUGAAUACCCCGCUGUUCUGACGGUACCCAAAGAAUAAGCACCGGCUAACUUCGUG
RNAcentral lists this ribosomal RNA (491 nucleotides) under uncultured bacterium. RNAcentral's name for it is "partial 16S ribosomal RNA". It matches the Rfam family "Bacterial small subunit ribosomal RNA", at positions 29 to 507 of the family's 1533-position model. The record is from RNAcentral.